GNUUAAUGAUAAANNUAUAUUAGGUCAAACCUGCCCAAUGAAGUUAUUUUAAAUGGCCGCAGUAAAUUGACUGUGCAAAGGUAGCAUAAUAAUUUGUCUUUUAAUUGGAGACUGGAAUGAAUGGUUUAACGUGAUGAAAGCUAUCUUUAUUUUAAUUUUUGAAAUUUACUUUUAAGUUAAAAGGCUUAUAAAUGUUAAUUAAGGGACGAGAAGACCCCAUCAAGUUUGACAGUUAAAUAUAUAAUGAUCAAUAAGUAUUUAUUAUAAUUGUUUUUCUGGGGCGGAAAUAAUAGUUUAUCUUUUGUUAAUAAAAAUAAUUGAUGGAUUUAUUAAUAAAACUUUUAUUAAGAAAUUAAAAUAAAAUUACUGUGGGGGUAACAGCGUUAUUCUUUUGGAAAGUUCAAAUUAAUAAAAGAGAUUGCGACCUCGAUGUUGGAUUAAAUUUUCCCCAUAAUGAAGAAGUUAUGAAGGUAAGUCUGUUCGACUUGUUAAAAAUUACA
This 500-nucleotide ribosomal RNA is filed under the name Achelia hoekii. Its description in RNAcentral is "partial 16S ribosomal RNA". It matches the Rfam family "Archaeal large subunit ribosomal RNA", at positions 1908 to 2669 of the family's 2987-position model. Lineage: Eukaryota; Metazoa; Arthropoda; Pycnogonida; Pantopoda; Ammotheidae. The record is from RNAcentral.